CUCGAGAAGACCAGAAAGCAUGUUAUAGAAUUGGACUUAUUUUGCUUUCAUGAUGUUUUUGUAGUUACUGUUUUAUGCCCAAGACUCAUCAUAAGAUUGAAGCUUAUCAUUUCUUCAAACUUGUAAAACGAAUAUGCCAGAGAAAAUACCUGUUAUACUUGAGGAAUAAGCUGAAAGCCGAUACUAUUGACCGAUCCGAUAAUAUGAA
RNAcentral lists this long non-coding RNA (208 nucleotides) under Elaeis guineensis (African oil palm). RNAcentral's name for it is "long non-coding RNA (EGUI_LNC026230)". The record is from RNAcentral. Lineage: Eukaryota; Viridiplantae; Streptophyta; Magnoliopsida; Arecales; Arecaceae.